UGAGUGGCGGACGGGUGAGUAACGCGUGGGUAACCUGCCUCAUACAGGGGGAUAACAGUUAGAAAUGACUGCUAACACCGCAUAAGCGCACAGUGCCGCAUGGCACGGUGUGAAAAUAUUGAUAGGUAUGAGAUGGACCCGCGUCUGAUUAGCUGGUUGGUAGGGUAAUGGCCUACCAAGGCGACGAUCAGUAGCCGGCUUGAGAGAGUGGACGGCCACAUUGGGACUGAGACACGGCCCAA
This 242-nucleotide ribosomal RNA is filed under the name uncultured bacterium. RNAcentral's name for it is "partial 16S ribosomal RNA". It matches the Rfam family "Bacterial small subunit ribosomal RNA", at positions 92 to 334 of the family's 1533-position model. The record is from RNAcentral.